UACGUAGGGUGCGAGCGUUGUCCGGAAUUAUUGGGCGUAAAGGGCUCGUAGGCGGUUUGUCGCGUCGGGAGUGAAAUCCACUGGCUUAACUGGUGGCUUGCUUUCGAUACGGGCAGACUGGAGGUAUGCAGGGGAGAACGGAAUUCCUGGUGUAGCGGUGAAAUGCGUAGAUAUCGAGAGGAACACCUGCGGCGAAGGCGGGUUGCUGGGCUGAUACUGACGCUGAGGCGCGAAAGCCAGGGGAGCGAACGGG
Molecule: ribosomal RNA, 253 nt
Filed under: uncultured bacterium
Lineage: Bacteria
Description: partial 16S ribosomal RNA
Rfam family: Bacterial small subunit ribosomal RNA
Source: RNAcentral